ACAAGUGAGCAAGGUGGAACCAAGCCACUGGGAUAAGAGAGCCGCUACAGGGCGAACCAGGACCUCAAAGGAUCCGCUCCCAAGGGAGCCAGGACCAAGUAUAAGGAACGGCAGCCCUGGCAAUGGGCAGCAUGGCUCAGCAGGAAACAAUAUACACAUCCAUUAACAAGAAACUGGCUAGUUGCUGCUUUCUACCCUCCUGUGGACAGUCUUGUUAUGGACUUAAGUGUAACUCCUCUUAUCAUGGAGUAAAUAGAUACUGU
Molecule: non-coding RNA, 263 nt
Organism: Manis javanica (Malayan pangolin)
Lineage: Eukaryota; Metazoa; Chordata; Mammalia; Pholidota; Manidae
Source: RefSeq, a predicted model, not a curated record